GUGAGUUCAUGCUGCUAUGGACAUGGCUCGCUGACCAAGCUGCUAAUCUCAGAUGCUGGACAGGAUGAGCAAUGGACCUUCUAAUGAGGGCUGAAAUCUCCAUGCCACCCUGAUGAAGUCCACCUUGCAUGUAGAAACACCGUCGACUUCUCUGGGCUUGGAAGCAACUGGGAUGGACCAUCACACCAUGGAAUCAAUAUUUCAGGUCUUUUUGGAAGGAUACCAGGUGCUCGCGACCGAAGACGAAAACGACCAUCCAGACUGUUACCAGCAACAAGUCCAAAAGCAAGCGUCUGUCAUGGUGUGAGGUUGUGGCAGUGCUCUUAGCAAAGUUGGAGACAUUAGACUAAGCCGGUCUCAAGAACAAGCCCACUACACCCCGAUACUGAGACAAGACUGAGUCGAAAUAAUGGUGAGAUCAAGACAAGACUGUCUAUUUAUGGUCUCAAGACUGGACUUGAAUACGACAACACUAAGUGACUCUUUAACUUAUUUUCACUUAUAACCAAUAAUCCCACUGUCACUGUUCAAACAUCUGCAUACGACUGUAUGAACAGAACUUGCGCAUUUACAUUUAGCACA
Pygocentrus nattereri (red-bellied piranha) is the source of this 582-nucleotide long non-coding RNA. RefSeq lists it as uncharacterized. The record is from RefSeq and is a predicted model, not a curated record. The transcript has 4 exons. NCBI's taxonomy places the organism in Eukaryota, Metazoa, Chordata, Actinopteri, Characiformes, Serrasalmidae.